Molecule: ribosomal RNA, 440 nt
Filed under: uncultured bacterium
Lineage: Bacteria
Description: partial 16S ribosomal RNA
Rfam family: Bacterial small subunit ribosomal RNA
Source: RNAcentral
CCUACGGGAGACAGCAGUGGGGGAUAUUGCACAAUGGGGGAAACCCUGAUGCAGCGACGCCGCGUGGGUGAAGAAGCGCCUCGGCGCGUAAAGCCCUGUCAGCAGGGAAGAAAAUGACGGUACCUGAAGAAGAAGCCCCGGCUAACUACGUGCCAGCAGCCGCGGUAAUACGGAGGGGGCAAGCGUUAUCCGGAUUUACUGGGUGUAAAGGGGGCGCAGACGGCGAUGCAAGCCAGGAGUGAAAGCCCGGGGCCCAACCCCGGGACUGCUCUUGGAACUGCGUGGCUAGAGUGCAGGAGGGGCAGGCGGAAUGCCUGGUGUAGCGGGGAAAUGCGUAGAUAUCAGGAGGAACACCGAUGGCGAAGGCGGCCUGCUGGACUGCAACUGACGUUGAGGCCCGAAAGCGUGGGGAGCAAACAGGAUUAGAUACCCGGGUAGUC